This 497-nucleotide ribosomal RNA is filed under the name uncultured bacterium. Its description in RNAcentral is "partial 16S ribosomal RNA". It matches the Rfam family "Bacterial small subunit ribosomal RNA", at positions 28 to 507 of the family's 1533-position model. The record is from RNAcentral.
GAUGAACGCUGGCGGCGUGCCUAAUACAUGCAAGUCGAGCGAACAGACGAGGAGCUUGCUCCUCUGACGUUAGCGGCGGACGGGUGAGUAACACGUGGAUAACCUACCUAUAAGACUGGGAUAACUUCGGGAAACCGGAGCUAAUACCGGAUAAUAUAUUGAACCGCAUGGUUCAAUAGUGAAAUACGGUUUUGCUGUCACUUAUAGAUGGAUCCGCGCCGCAUUAGCUAGUUGGUAAGGUAACGGCUUACCAAGGCAACGAUGCGUAGCCGACCUGAGAGGGUGAUCGGCCACACUGGGACUGAGGCACGGUCCAGACUCCUACGGGAGGCAGCAGUAGGGAAUCUUCCGCAAUGGGCGAAAGCCUUACGGAGCAAAGCCGCGUGAGUGAUGAAGGUCUUCGGAUCGUAAAACUCUGUUAUUAGGGAAGAACAAAUGGGUAAGUAACUAUGCACGUCUUGACGGUAACUAAUCAGAAAGCCACGGCUAACUACGUG